UACGGGGGGGGCAAGCGUUGUUCGGAAUUACUGGGCGUAAAGGGCUCGUAGGCGGCCAACUAAGUCAGACGUGAAAUCCCUCGGCUUAACCGGGGAACUGCGUCUGAUACUGGAUGGCUUGAGUCCGGGAGAGGGAUGUGGAAUUCCAGGUGUAGCGGUGAAAUGCGUAGAUAUCUGGAGGAACACCGGUGGCGAAGGCGACAUCCUGGACCGGUAUUGACGCUGAGGCGCGAAAGCCAGGGGAGCAAACGGG
This 253-nucleotide ribosomal RNA is filed under the name uncultured bacterium. Its description in RNAcentral is "partial 16S ribosomal RNA". It matches the Rfam family "Bacterial small subunit ribosomal RNA", at positions 524 to 776 of the family's 1533-position model. The record is from RNAcentral.